This 301-nucleotide ribosomal RNA is filed under the name uncultured bacterium. RNAcentral describes it as "partial 16S ribosomal RNA". It matches the Rfam family "Bacterial small subunit ribosomal RNA", at positions 509 to 807 of the family's 1533-position model. The record is from RNAcentral.
CAGUCGCCGCGGUAAUACAGAGGGUGCGAGCGUUAAUCGGAUUUACUGGGCGUAAAGCGUGCGUAGGCGGCUAAUUGAGUCGGAUGUGAAAUCCCCGAGCUUAACUUGGGAAUUGCAUUCGAUACUGGUUAGCUAGAGUAUGGGAGAGGAUGGUAGAAUUCCAGGUGUAGCGGUGAAAUGCGUAGAGAUCUGGAGGAAUACCGAUGGCGAAGGCAGCCAUCUGGCCUAAUACUGACGCUGAGGUACGAAAGCAUGGGGAGCAAACAGGAUUAGAUACCCCUGUAGUCCCUGUCUCUUAUAC